CGCAUUAAGUUAUCCGCCUGGGGAGUACGGCCGCAAGGUUAAAACUCAAAUGAAUUGACGGGGGCCUGCACAAGCGGUGGAGCAUGUGGUUUAAUUCGAAGCAACGCGCAGAACCUUACCAGCGUUUGACAUGUCCGGACGAUUUCGGGAGACCGAUCUC
This 160-nucleotide ribosomal RNA is filed under the name Mucilaginibacter sp. S3H26. RNAcentral's name for it is "partial 16S ribosomal RNA". It matches the Rfam family "Bacterial small subunit ribosomal RNA", at positions 856 to 1014 of the family's 1533-position model. Lineage: Bacteria; Pseudomonadati; Bacteroidota; Sphingobacteriia; Sphingobacteriales; Sphingobacteriaceae. The record is from RNAcentral.